GCGCGCUGCGCCCCUGCUGAGCGGCGCGGAGCUACCACGCCCUGCCAGACUCGCCCUUGGGUCCCUGUCUGACGAGCUCUAGGCAAUCUGCCCUCGUUCGGGACACAACCAUCGGUCUCACCCCUCAGUUUCUGCCAGAGAAAAAGGAAAAGUCACCGAGAGGCCUGACCCUGACGGGUGGGGGAGAUGCGCGUGCGGAGUAGCGGGAAGCGACUGAGGAGCGGGGAAUGGGCAGCAUUUGAAUGGAUGCGGGUGCCGCUGGCACCCGGGAAGACGCUGGGGGCCGGCGCUGUAGAGCCGGGCAUGGGCUGGGAUGUGUUUGGAUUCCAAUCCGGGCCUGACACCAGUUCAGUGACCUCGGGAAGUUCCCCAACCCUCCGGGCCUGUUUCCUCCCUCUGAAGUGGCGACAGUAGUAGAACCGACCUCGUAGGCUCAUCGGGAGGUCCUGAUGGGAGAACCCAUGCAACUUGCCACCAUAGAGCCAGGCCCGCGGCGGUUGGCGCCUGGUGGGUAUUAAAGACGAGUCGGGAAAGAAGAGCAGCACACCAACAUGGCACAUGUAUACAUAUGUAACAAACCUGCACAUUGUGCACAUGUACCCUAAAACUUAAAGUGUAACAAUAAUAAAAUUUUUUU
Molecule: long non-coding RNA, 637 nt
Filed under: Homo sapiens (human)
Lineage: Eukaryota; Metazoa; Chordata; Mammalia; Primates; Hominidae
Description: non-protein coding SLC16A1-AS1:3
Source: RNAcentral